UGAUUCCCCUAGUAACUGCGAGUGAAGCGGGAAAAGCUCAAAUUUAAAAUCUGGCAGUCUUUGGCUGUCCGAGUUGUAGUCUGGAGAAGCGUUUUCCGCGCUGGACCGUGUACAAGUCUCCUGGAACGGAGCGUCAUAGAGGGUGAGAAUCCCGUCUUUGACACGGACUACCAGUGCUUUGUGAUGCGCUCUCAAAGAGUCGAGUUGUUUGGGAAUGCAGCUCAAAAUGGGUGGUAAACUCCAUCUAAAGCUAAAUAUUGGCGAGAGACCGAUAGCGAACAAGUACCGUGAGGGAAAGAUGAAAAGCACUUUGGAAAGAGAGUUAAACAGUACGUGAAAUUGCUGAAAGGGAAACGCUUGAAGUCAGUCGCGUUUGCUAGGACUCAGCCUUGCCUCGGCUUGGUGCAUUUCCUAGUAGACGGGCCAGCAUCACUUUUGGCUGCGGGAAAAAGGUUAGAGGAAUGUGGCACCUCCGGGUGUGUUAUAGCCUCUGGCUGUAUACCGUGGCUGGGAGUGAGGAACUCAGCACGCCUUCAUGGCGGGGCUUCGGCCACCUUCGUGCUUAGGAUGCUGGCGUAAUGGCUUUAAACGACCCGUCUUGAAACACGGACCAAGGAGUCUAACAUGCCUGCGAGUGUUUGGGUGGAAAACCCGAGCGCGUAAUGAAAGUGAAAGUUGGGACCUCUGUCGUGGAGGGCACCGACGCCCGGACCAGACCUUCUGUGACGGAUCCGCGGUAGAGCAUGUAUGUUGGGACCCGAAAGAUGGUGAACUAUGCCUGAAUAGGGUGAAGCCAGAGGAAACUCUGGUGGAGGCUCGUAGCGAUUCUGACGUGCAAAUCGAUCGUCAAAUUUGGGUAUAGGGGCGAAAGACUAAUCGAACCAUCUAGUAGCUGGUUCCUGCCGA
This 906-nucleotide ribosomal RNA is filed under the name Phanerochaete thailandica. RNAcentral's name for it is "partial large subunit ribosomal RNA". It matches the Rfam family "Eukaryotic large subunit ribosomal RNA", at positions 72 to 964 of the family's 3401-position model. The record is from RNAcentral. Lineage: Eukaryota; Fungi; Basidiomycota; Agaricomycetes; Polyporales; Phanerochaetaceae.